CAACUACUCCCUCUGUCCCAAAUUUCUUGUCUUAGAUUUGUCUAGAUACAGAUGUAUCUAAUACUAAAAUGUGACUUGAUACAUCCGUAUCUAGACAAAUCUAAGACAAGAAUUUUGGGACAGAGGGAGUACUUU
This is a non-coding RNA of Triticum aestivum (bread wheat), 135 nucleotides long. Lineage: Eukaryota; Viridiplantae; Streptophyta; Magnoliopsida; Poales; Poaceae. The record is from Rfam.